RNAcentral lists this ribosomal RNA (429 nucleotides) under Bacillota bacterium. Its description in RNAcentral is "Firmicutes bacterium partial 16S ribosomal RNA". It matches the Rfam family "Bacterial small subunit ribosomal RNA", at positions 355 to 776 of the family's 1533-position model. The record is from RNAcentral. Lineage: Bacteria; Bacillati; Bacillota.
UAGGGAAUCUUCCACAAUGGACGCAAGUCUGAUGGAGCAACGCCGCGUGAGUGAAGAAGGUUUUCGGAUCGUAAAGCUCUGUUGUUGGUGAAGAAGGAUAGAGGCAGUAACUGGUCUUUAUUUGACGGUAAUCAACCAGAAAGUCACGGCUAACUACGUGCCAGCAGCCGCGGUAAUACGUAGGUGGCAAGCGUUGUCCGGAUUUAUUGGGCGUAAAGCGAGCGCAGGCGGAAUGAUAAGUCUGAUGUGAAAGCCCACGGCUCAACCGUGGAACUGCAUCGGAAACUGUCAUUCUUGAGUGCAGAAGAGGAGAAUGGAAUUCCAUGUGUAGCGGUGGAAUGCGUAGAUAUAUGGAAGAACACCAGUGGCUAAGGCGGCUCUCUGGUCUGCAACUGACGCUGAGGCUCGAAAGCAUGGGUAGCGAACAGG